RNAcentral lists this ribosomal RNA (875 nucleotides) under uncultured marine group I thaumarchaeote. Its description in RNAcentral is "bacterial SSU rRNA". It matches the Rfam family "Archaeal small subunit ribosomal RNA", at positions 21 to 903 of the family's 1478-position model. Lineage: Archaea; Thermoproteati; Nitrososphaerota. The record is from RNAcentral.
CCUGACUGCUAUCGGAUUGAUACUAAGCCAUGCGAGUCAUUGUAGUAAUACAAGGCAGACGGCUCAGUAACGCGUAGUCAACCUACCCUAUGGACGGGAAUAACCUCGGGAAACUGAGAAUAAUGCCCGAUAGAACAUUAUGCCUGGAAUGGUUUAUGUUCCAAAUGAUUUAUCGCCAUAGGAUGGGACUGCGGCCUAUCAGUUUGUUGGUGAGGUAAUGGCCCACCAAGACUAUUACAGGUACGGGCUCUGAGAGGAGUAGCCCGGAGAUGGGUACUGAGACACGGACCCAGGCCCUAUGGGGCGCAGCAGGCGAGAAAACUUUGCAAUGUGCGAAAGCACGACAAGGUUAAUCCGAGUGGUUUCUGCUAAAGGAACCUUUUGUCAGUCCUAGAAACACUGGCGAAUAAGGGGUGGGCAAGUUCUGGUGUCAGCCGCCGCGGUAAAACCAGCACCUCAAGUGGUCAGGAUGAUUAUUGGGCCUAAAGCAUCCGUAGCCUGCUUUGUCAGUUUUCGGUUAAAUCCAUACGCUCAACGUAUGGGCUGCCGGGAAUACUGCAAAGCUAGGGAGUGGGAGAGGUAGACGGUACUCGGUAGGAAGGGGUAAAAUCCUUUGAUCUAUUGAUGACCACCUGUGGCGAAGGCGGUCUACCAGAACACGUCCGACGGUGAGGGAUGAAAGCUGGGGGAGCAAACCGGAUUAGAUACCCGGGUAGUCCCAGCUGUAAACUAUGCAAACUCAGUGAUGCAUUGGCUUGAUGCCAAUGCAGUGCUGCAGGGAAGCCGUUAAGUUUGCCGCCUGGGAAGUACGUACGCAAGUAUGAAACUUAAAGGAAUUGGCGGGGGAGCACCACAAGGGGUGAAGCCUGCGGUUC